RNAcentral lists this ribosomal RNA (697 nucleotides) under uncultured Lachnospiraceae bacterium. RNAcentral describes it as "bacterial SSU rRNA". It matches the Rfam family "Bacterial small subunit ribosomal RNA", at positions 39 to 737 of the family's 1533-position model. Lineage: Bacteria; Bacillati; Bacillota; Clostridia; Lachnospirales; Lachnospiraceae. The record is from RNAcentral.
GCGGCGUGCUUAACACAUGCAAGUCGAACGGGAAUUACUUUAUUGAAACUUCGGUCGAUUUAAUUUAAUUCUAGUGGCGGACGGGUGAGUAACGCGUGGGUAACCUGCCUUAUACAGGGGGAUAACAGUCAGAAAUGGCUGCUAAUACCGCAUAAGCGCACAGAGCUGCAUGGCUCAGUGUGAAAAACUCCGGUGGUAUAAGAUGGACCCGCGUUGGAUUAGCUUGUUGGUGGGGUAACGGCCUACCAAGGCGACGAUCCAUAGCCGGCCUGAGAGGGUGAACGGCCACAUUGGGACUGAGACACGGCCCAGACUCCUACGGGAGGCAGCAGUGGGGAAUAUUGCACAAUGGGGGAGACCCUGAUGCAGCGACGCCGCGUGAAGGAAGAAGUAUUUCGGUAUGUAAACUUCUAUCAGCAGGGAAGAUAGUGACGGUACCUGACUAAGAAGCCCCGGCUAACUACGUGCCAGCAGCCGCGGUAAUACGUAGGGGGCAAGCGUUAUCCGGAUUUACUGGGUGUAAAGGGAGCGUAGACGGUGUGGCAAGUCUGAUGUGAAAGGCAUGGGCUCAACCUGUGGACUGCAUUGGAAACUGUCAUACUUGAGUGCCGGAGGGGUAAGCGGAAUUCCUAGUGUAGCGGUGAAAUGCGUAGAUAUUAGGAGGAACACCAGUGGCGAAGGCGGCUUACUGGACGGU